This is a long non-coding RNA of Peromyscus eremicus (cactus mouse), 840 nucleotides long. RefSeq lists it as uncharacterized. Lineage: Eukaryota; Metazoa; Chordata; Mammalia; Rodentia; Cricetidae. The record is from RefSeq and is a predicted model, not a curated record. The transcript is spliced from 3 exons.
CCUUCCCCCUUGCUUAUGCCCCCUCAUCACCUGGCCUUCCCACCACUGUGGCCUAAUCUCUUCUUUUCCCUAUAGGACCCACCGGGCCUCACAGGCUCACGUGUGCUAACAACCCCAGGAAGCAUUUUAGGGGGAAGAAAGCAAGCAUUCUGCCUGAAAGAAUGUUUCCGAGGGAUAAAAGCUACCCACCACUUCUGGUCUAACUCUUCUAACGGUGUUGUGUGUGUGUGUUGGGGGAGCGCUGGCACCUUGCUGAGCAGGGCAUCAUAAAAGAUCAGAGCUGCUAUCAUCCCAGACGUCCUCCAUGGGACAUUAGAGAGCAGUAACACAAGCUAGGCUAGGUGGAGUCCCCUGCCUGGCCGCAGGAACAGCUCACCUGCUCACACGAGUUCAGUAAGCCUGUGAGGCAGAUAGGAGAGGCACUCAGAACAUACUGACAAACUGGGGAAUGGAUGUGGGUCGGAAGGAAGAGGACAGAAAAGAAUGCCAACAACAAGAUGAAGGAUGAAAAGCCUGGGCCAUAGGAAACAGUCACCUGAGGCACUAGGAGCAGGGGUCUCCCAUGCUGGGUCACUGAUGGUCCAGGGAUGUGAGCAUCCUGACCUUCCCACAUGUGCGGAGGAAGAGAGAAGUAAAUAAAAUGAAAGAGUGGCCGGACAGACUGGGGGUACCUGAGGCUUGCAGCAUUCCAAAUAGGCUCGGCUUUGUUCUUGUUGUUCUUAUGAUUCUUUGUUGUUUUUGUUUUUAAUGGGUUUUGCCUAAGCAGCCUAGGCUGCCUUGGAAUUUGCUACCCACUCAGCUGACCUAAACUUGGGGGGGGGGGGGGCCUCUGCCUCUGUC